GACGAACGCUGGCGGCGUGCUUAACACAUGCAAGUCGAACGGAAAGGCCCUGCUUUUGUGGGGUGCUCGAGUGGCGAACGGGUGAGUAACACGUGAGUAACCUGCCCUUGACUUUGGGAUAACUUCAGGAAACUGGGGCUAAUACCGGAUAGGAGCUCCUGCUGCAUGGUGGGGGUUGGAAAGUUUCGGCGGUUGGGGAUGGACUCGCGGCUUAUCAGCUUGUUGGUGGGGUAGUGGCUUACCAAGGCUUUGACGGGUAGCCGGCCUGAGAGGGUGACCGGCAACAUGGGGACGGAGGUACGGCCCAGACUCCUAGGGGGGGCAGAGGGGGGGAAUAUUGAAAAAGGGGCGGAAGCCUGAGGCAGAAACGCGGGGUGGGGGAUGACGGCCUUGGGGUUGUAAACCGCUUUCGCCUGUAACGAAGGGGGGGUGACGGUAAUGGGUAAAGGAGCACCGGCUAACUACGU
RNAcentral lists this ribosomal RNA (467 nucleotides) under uncultured bacterium. RNAcentral's name for it is "partial 16S ribosomal RNA". It matches the Rfam family "Bacterial small subunit ribosomal RNA", at positions 28 to 506 of the family's 1533-position model. The record is from RNAcentral.